AUGCCUAACACAUGCAAGUCGAACGAGACCUUCGGGUCUAGUGGCGCACGGGUGCGUAACGCGUGGGAAUCUGCCCCUCGGUUGGGAAUAACACAGAGAAAUUUGUGCUAAUACCUUAUAAUGUCUUCGGACCAAAGAUUUAUCGCCGAGGGAUGAGCCCGCGUAGGAUUAGGUAGUUGGUGGGGUAAUGGCCUACCAAGCCGACGAUCCUUAGCUGGUCUGAGAGGAUGAUCAGCCACACUGGGACUGAGACACGGCCCAGACUCCUACGGGAGGCAGCAGUGGGGAAUAUUGGACAAUGGGCGAAAGCCUGAUCCAAGCAAUGCCGCGUGAGUGAUGAAGGCCUUAGGGUUGUAAAGCUCUUUUACCCGGGAUGAUAAUGACAGUACCGGGAGAAUAAGCUCCGGCUAACUCCGUGCCAGCAGCCGC
Molecule: ribosomal RNA, 429 nt
Filed under: uncultured bacterium
Lineage: Bacteria
Description: bacterial SSU rRNA
Rfam family: Bacterial small subunit ribosomal RNA
Source: RNAcentral